GGGUGCAAUCACACCAGCACUAAAGCAUCGGAUCCCAUCAGAACUCUAACGUUAAGCAUACUUAGGCGAGAGUAGUACUAGGAUGGGUGAACCCCUCGGAAGUCCUAGUUUUGUACUCU
Molecule: ribosomal RNA, 119 nt
Filed under: Musa acuminata subsp. malaccensis (wild Malaysian banana)
Lineage: Eukaryota; Viridiplantae; Streptophyta; Magnoliopsida; Zingiberales; Musaceae
Source: RNAcentral